ACNCCGACCAUUGGUCGUACCCGAAGUAAUAGUCAUCCGUAAGGGGGACGUUCCUAAGGUAAUGCCGGGUAAGGGGACU
This 79-nucleotide ribosomal RNA is filed under the name uncultured bacterium. RNAcentral describes it as "partial 16S ribosomal RNA". The record is from RNAcentral.